UGCAAUUACGUUGCCUCCGUGAGUAAUGCGAUGGGAUCCAGCGGACAAAUUGCGCGGCCAAGACUCGAUCGACCGGAAAUUUUCCAGGAGAAAUAGAAAUCGGAAUAGCAGACCUACAGUGGAUCCCCGUUUCUCCGAUCGUCGUUGACUUCUCGGUCAUCCUUAAACAUCGCCCUAGAGAAAAAGGAAAUGGCCAAUUAAGCUGUAAACAGAGUCAUUAUAAACCGCACGAUCGUUGGAGAGUGGUCGUGUGGACAAACCGUACCAUAUGAUCCUUGUCGAUCGAGCUCGGCAGGAUGUCGGAGGGGACGGAUCGGAAGAAUCGGACCCUCGACGGAGGUCCGCGACGUCGCUGAGGAGCUCGGCUUCCUCGUGCGGGCAUUUAAGUGCGAACAAUUAGACACGAGAGGAUCGCCAGAAAAAUCAUCGAAAUCGCAGGAAUGGCUGGAACGACGGAGGCAUCCGGCGAGCCGUUGCAGGCGUCCCCUCCGCAGAAGAAGCACUCGACCUCGGCUUCCGGAAAGCGUUCCCGGAAGUGGCAGUAGUUUGCGGCCCUGGACGCCGGGACGCAUCCCCUCACGGUCGUCAGGACGUUCCUGUCUGCUCGAAGACGAGGAAAGAAAAAGCUCGCUCGGCUCUUAAGUUGCCGAAAGUCCAACGGGAACAAGUGGAGAAGGAGCACACGAAAUGUCACGAAUCCAACGAAACGGGACGAGAGUCUACUAGUGAGAAACUACGUCGGAAAUAAGGUAAUGCAAACAUACACGAUGCGUAACGCAUUGUAUUAUCUGCACGAAUUGCUAGCGCACGAAUGAACAUUUCCUCUCUGGACACCUUUAGGCACUUUUCAGUUGAACGGUAUGCCAGCUAAUUCGGUACUACACAUGGCUAAAUAGCGAGAAACGCUUAUAAAAGCUACUACUUAUUCGUAGUCGAUCCUUAUUACAAUAAUACACGGUUGAUUCGUUCGAGCUUUCUCUUGGUUCCGUUGUACCUUGAAACGGUGCUUUUCGAGACGAGGAUCUCUCUUCUUCCGAGACAUCUCGGACCCUGGAUCGCGGGUUGCGACGUUACAGAAACCGCGAUAUGCUCCUCGUGAGACAUCCCGGAGAGAAAUCUCGCUAAAUAUCGGGCCGAAGGCUCUUUUAGCGUGCCGCUUUAGAAAAUUCGUAGGAGUGAAAUAAGCGCGGAGUGCCGUCUCGCUCCUAGAGGCCCCGUUCGCAAGGCGCGUUUUUCAAAUGCCCGCAAUGGCACGGUGACAUUACAUCUCA
Molecule: long non-coding RNA, 1271 nt
Filed under: Orussus abietinus
Lineage: Eukaryota; Metazoa; Arthropoda; Insecta; Hymenoptera; Orussidae
Description: uncharacterized LOC105695695, transcript variant X2
Source: RNAcentral